Molecule: ribosomal RNA, 1420 nt
Filed under: uncultured bacterium
Lineage: Bacteria
Description: bacterial SSU rRNA
Rfam family: Bacterial small subunit ribosomal RNA
Source: RNAcentral
AGAGUUUGAUCCUGGCUCAGAUUGAACGCUGGCGGCAGGCCUAACACAUGCAAGUCGAGCGGUAGCACAGAGAGCUUGCUCUCGGGUGACGAGCGGCGGACGGGUGAGUAAUGUCUGGGAAACUGCCUGAUGGAGGGGGAUAACUACUGGAAACGGUAGCUAAUACCGCAUAACGUCGCAAGACCAAAGUGGGGGACCUUCGGGCCUCAUGCCAUCAGAUGUGCCCAGAUGGGAUUAGCUAGUAGGUGGGGUAACGGCUCACCUAGGCGACGAUCCCUAGCUGGUCUGAGAGGAUGACCAGCCACACUGGAACUGAGACACGGUCCAGACUCCUACGGGAGGCAGCAGUGGGGAAUAUUGCACAAUGGGCGCAAGCCUGAUGCAGCCAUGCCGCGUGUGUGAAGAAGGCCUUCGGGUUGUAAAGCACUUUCAGCGGGGAGGAAGGCGUUAAGGUUAAUAACCUUGGCGAUUGACGUUACCCGCAGAAGAAGCACCGGCUAACUCCGUGCCAGCAGCCGCGGUAAUACGGAGGGUGCAAGCGUUAAUCGGAAUUACUGGGCGUAAAGCGCACGCAGGCGGUCUGUCAAGUCGGAUGUGAAAUCCCCGGGCUCAACCUGGGAACUGCAUUCGAAACUGGCAGGCUAGAGUCUUGUAGAGGGGGGUAGAAUUCCAGGUGUAGCGGUGAAAUGCGUAGAGAUCUGGAGGAAUACCGGUGGCGAAGGCGGCCCCCUGGACAAAGACUGACGCUCAGGUGCGAAAGCGUGGGGAGCAAACAGGAUUAGAUACCCUGGUAGUCCACGCCGUAAACGAUGUCGAUUUGGAGGUUGUGCCCUUGAGGCGUGGCUUCCGGAGCUAACGCGUUAAAUCGACCGCCUGGGGAGUACGGCCGCAAGGUUAAAACUCAAAUGAAUUGACGGGGGCCCGCACAAGCGGUGGAGCAUGUGGUUUAAUUCGAUGCAACGCGAAGAACCUUACCUGGUCUUGACAUCCACAGAACUUUCCAGAGAUGGAUUGGUGCCUUCGGGAACUGUGAGACAGGUGCUGCAUGGCUGUCGUCAGCUCGUGUUGUGAAAUGUUGGGUUAAGUCCCGCAACGAGCGCAACCCUUAUCUUUUGUUGCCAGCGGUUCGGCCGGGAACUCAAAGGAGACUGCCAGUGAUAAACUGGAGGAAGGUGGGGAUGACGUCAAGUCAUCAUGGCCCUUACGACCAGGGCUACACACGUGCUACAAUGGCAUAUACAAAGAGAAGCGACCUCGCGAGAGCAAGCGGACCUCAUAAAGUAUGUCGUAGUCCGGAUUGGAGUCUGCAACUCGACUCCAUGAAGUCGGAAUCGCUAGUAAUCGUAGAUCAGAAUGCUACGGUGAAUACGUUCCCGGGCCUUGUACACACCGCCCGUCACACCAUGGGAGUGGGUUGCAA